This 439-nucleotide ribosomal RNA is filed under the name uncultured bacterium. Its description in RNAcentral is "partial 16S ribosomal RNA". It matches the Rfam family "Bacterial small subunit ribosomal RNA", at positions 339 to 795 of the family's 1533-position model. The record is from RNAcentral.
CUACGGGGCGCAGCAGUGGGGAAUAUUGGACAAUGGGCGAAAGCCUGAUCCAGCCAUGCCGCGUGAGUGAUGAAGGCCUUAGGGUUGUAAAGCUCUUUCGCAGGUGAAGAUAAUGACGGUAACCUGUAAAGAAGCCCCGGCUAACUUCGUGCCAGCAGCCGCGGUAAUACGAAGGGGGCUAGCGUUGUUCGGAAUCACUGGGCGUAAAGCGCGCGUAGGCUGACUGAUAAGUCAGGGGUGAAAUCCCGGGGCUCAACCCCGGAACUGCCUUUGAAACUGUCAGUCUUGAGACUCGGAGGGGAUGGCGGAAUUCCUAGUGUAGAGGUGAAAUUCGUAGAUACUAGGAGGAACACCAGUGGCGAAGGCGGCCAUCUGGACGAGUACUGACGCUGAGGUGCGAAAGCGUGGGGAGCGAACAGGAUUAGAUACCCGCGUAGUC